GCGGGGGUGGAAGGCAGGUCAGUAAGGGCGUAUGGCUACCAACCUGAAGGUUGCGGGUUUGAUUCCCACCCUUUGCA
Massospora cicadina is the source of this 77-nucleotide non-coding RNA. The record is from the annotation of a GenBank genome assembly. Lineage: Eukaryota; Fungi; Entomophthoromycota; Entomophthoromycetes; Entomophthorales; Entomophthoraceae.